CGCGUAGGCGGUCUGGCUAGUCAGGCGUGAAAUUCCCGGGCUUAACCUGGGGGCUGCGCUUGAUACAUCCAGGCUUGAGUGAGGAAGAGGGUCGUGGAAUUCCCAGUGUAGAGGUGAAAUUCGUAGAUAUUGGGAAGAACACCGGUGGCGAAGGCGGCGACCUGGUCCUUGACUGACGCUGAGGCGCGAAAGCGUGGGGAGCAAACAGGAUUAGAUACCCUGGUAGUCCACGCCGUAAACGAUGUGUGCUGGAUGUUGGGCAACCUAGUUGCGCAGUGUCGUAGCUAACGCGGUAAGCACACCGCCUGGGGAGUACGGCCGCAAGGUUGAA
RNAcentral lists this ribosomal RNA (331 nucleotides) under uncultured bacterium. RNAcentral describes it as "bacterial SSU rRNA". It matches the Rfam family "Bacterial small subunit ribosomal RNA", at positions 568 to 898 of the family's 1533-position model. The record is from RNAcentral.